AGCGAACGCUGGCGGCAGGCCUAAAAAAGCCAGGUGGACGAAACCCUCGGGGGUUGUGGCCGGCGGGGGAGUAACACGGUGGAACGUGCCUUUUGGGUCGGAAUAAACUAGGGGAACCUGUUCUAAUAACGAAUGUGCCCCUUGGGGGAAAGAUUUUAUGCCAUUAGAGCGGCCCGCGUCUGAUUAGCUAGUUGGUGAGGUAACGGCUCACCAAGGCGACGAUCAGUAGCUGGUCUGAGAGGAUGACCAGCCACACUGGGACUGAGACACGGCCCAGACUCCUACGGGAGGCAGCAGUGGGGAAUCUUGCGCAAUGGGCGAAAGCCUGACGCAGCCAUGCCGCGUGAAUGAUGAAGGUCUUAGGAUUGUAAAAUUCUUUCACCGGGGACGAUAAUGACGGUACCCGGAGAAGAAGCCCCGGCUAACUUCGUG
This 432-nucleotide ribosomal RNA is filed under the name uncultured bacterium. RNAcentral describes it as "partial 16S ribosomal RNA". It matches the Rfam family "Bacterial small subunit ribosomal RNA", at positions 29 to 507 of the family's 1533-position model. The record is from RNAcentral.